UACGUAGGGACCAAGCGUUGUUCGGAUUUAUUGGGCGUAAAGAGCUCGUAGGUGGUUUGGUAAGUCGGAUGUGAAAUCUCCAGGCUCAACCUGGAGGGGUCAUUCGAGACUGCUAUGACUAGAGUUCGGUAGAGGAGUGUGGAAUUCCUGGUGGAGCGGUGAAAUGCGCAGAUAUCAGGAGGAACACCCGUAGCGAAGGCGGCACUCUGGGCCGAUACUGACACUGAGGAGCGAAAGCGUGGGGAGCGAACAGG
This 254-nucleotide ribosomal RNA is filed under the name uncultured bacterium. RNAcentral describes it as "partial 16S ribosomal RNA". It matches the Rfam family "Bacterial small subunit ribosomal RNA", at positions 524 to 776 of the family's 1533-position model. The record is from RNAcentral.